GACAGAGGUUGCAAGCGUUGUUCGGAAUUACUGGGCGUAAAGCGUGCGCAGGCGGUUUUGUAAGCCAGAUGUGAAAUCCCCGGGCUUAACCUGGGAAUGGCAUUUGGGACUGCAAGGCUCGAGUGCGGCAGAGGAGACUGGAAUUCCUGGUGUAGCAGUGAAAUGCGUAGAUAUCAGGAGGAACACCGAUGGCGAAGGCAGGUCUCUGGGCUGACACUGACGCUCAUGCACGAAAGCGUGGGGAGCAAACAGG
RNAcentral lists this ribosomal RNA (253 nucleotides) under uncultured bacterium. RNAcentral describes it as "partial 16S ribosomal RNA". It matches the Rfam family "Bacterial small subunit ribosomal RNA", at positions 524 to 776 of the family's 1533-position model. The record is from RNAcentral.